GGCUGGUCUGAGUACAGUGGUGUUUACAGUUAAUUAAUCCCAACCAGUUACAGAUUUCUUUGUUUCUUCUCUACUCCCACUGCUUCACUUGACUAGACUAAA
RNAcentral lists this Y RNA (102 nucleotides) under Microcebus murinus (gray mouse lemur). Its description in RNAcentral is "Y RNA (ENSMICG00000043627.1)". It matches the Rfam family "Y RNA". From Rfam's summary of the family: Y RNAs are components of the Ro ribonucleoprotein particle (Ro RNP), in association with Ro60 and La proteins. The Y RNAs and Ro60 and La proteins are well conserved, but the function of the Ro RNP is not known. The record is from Rfam by way of RNAcentral. Lineage: Eukaryota; Metazoa; Chordata; Mammalia; Primates; Cheirogaleidae.